RNAcentral lists this transfer RNA (85 nucleotides) under Candidatus Magasanikbacteria bacterium RIFOXYD1_FULL_40_23. Its description in RNAcentral is "tRNA-Leu". It matches the Rfam family "tRNA". Rfam says of the family: Transfer RNA (tRNA) molecules are approximately 80 nucleotides in length. Their secondary structure includes four short double-helical elements and three loops (D, anti-codon, and T loops). Lineage: Bacteria; Candidatus Magasanikiibacteriota. RNAcentral also lists the same sequence under 1 other name. The record is from RNAcentral.
GCCGAAGUGGCGGAAUUGGUAGACGCACACGACUCAAAAUCGUGCGGAGAAAUCCAUGAGAGUUCGAUUCUCUCCUUCGGCACAA